Molecule: small RNA, 90 nt
Filed under: Chryseobacterium polytrichastri
Lineage: Bacteria; Pseudomonadati; Bacteroidota; Flavobacteriia; Flavobacteriales; Weeksellaceae
Description: Flavo-1 RNA
Source: RNAcentral
UUUGUUCCUCGUUUUGCAACGACAUCCUUUUUCUGAAAUGGCUUAAAAAAAGCGUGGGCGAAAAAGAUAUAGUGGAAAGCGGGAAAAAGC